RNAcentral lists this ribosomal RNA (428 nucleotides) under uncultured bacterium. RNAcentral's name for it is "partial 16S ribosomal RNA". It matches the Rfam family "Bacterial small subunit ribosomal RNA", at positions 354 to 796 of the family's 1533-position model. The record is from RNAcentral.
GUGGGGAAUAUUGGGCAAUGGGCGCAAGCCUGACCCAGCAACGCCGCGUGAAGGAAGAAGGCUUUCGGGUUGUAAACUUCUUUUACCAGGGACGAAAAAAAUGACGGUACCUGGAGAAUAAGCCACGGCUAACUACGUGCCAGCAGCCGCGGUAAUACGUAGGUGGCAAGCGUUGUCCGGAUUUACUGGGUGUAAAGGGCGCGUAGGCGGGAGAGCAAGUCAGGAGUGAAAUCUAUGGGCUUAACCCAUAAAUUGCUUUUGAAACUGUUUUUCUUGAGUGAUGGAGAGGCAAGCGGAAUUCCUAGUGUAGCGGUGAAAUGCGUAGAUAUUAGGAGGAACACCAGUGGCGAAGGCGGCUUGCUGGACAUUAACUGACGCUGAUGCGCGAAAGCGUGGGGAGCAAACAGGAUUAGAAACCCGAGUAGUCC